RNAcentral lists this ribosomal RNA (660 nucleotides) under uncultured Lachnospiraceae bacterium. RNAcentral describes it as "bacterial SSU rRNA". It matches the Rfam family "Bacterial small subunit ribosomal RNA", at positions 65 to 733 of the family's 1533-position model. Lineage: Bacteria; Bacillati; Bacillota; Clostridia; Lachnospirales; Lachnospiraceae. The record is from RNAcentral.
AAAUACUUCAUUGAGACUUCGGUGGAUUUGAUUUAUUUCUAGUGGCGGACGGGUGAGUAACGCGUGGGUAACCUGCCUUAUACAGGGGGAUAACAGUCAGAAAUGGCUGCUAAUACCGCAUAAGCGCACAGAGCUGCAUGGCUCAGUGUGAAAAACUCCGGUGGUAUAAGAUGGACCCGCGUUGGAUUAGCUGGUUGGUGGGGUAACGGCCCACCAAGGCGACGAUCCAUAGCCGGCCUGAGAGGGUGAACGGCCACAUUGGGACUGAGACACGGCCCAGACUCCUACGGGAGGCAGCAGUGGGGAAUAUUGCACAAUGGGGGAAACCCUGAUGCAGCGACGCCGCGUGAAGGAAGAAGUAUCUCGGUAUGUAAACUUCUAUCAGCAGGGAAGAUAGUGACGGUACCUGACUAAGAAGCCCCGGCUAACUACGUGCCAGCAGCCGCGGUAAUACGUAGGGGGCAAGCGUUAUCCGGAUUUACUGGGUGUAAAGGGAGCGUAGACGGUGUGGCAAGUCUGAUGUGAAAGGCAUGGGCUCAACCUGUGGACUGCAUUGGAAACUGUCAUACUUGAGUGCCGGAGGGGUAAGCGGAAUUCCUAGUGUAGCGGUGAAAUGCGUAGAUAUUAGGAGGACACCAGUGGCGAAGGCGGCUUACUGGA